UGUGGGAUCCGUUCCGCCUCCGGGCAGCGCGGUGAAUUCUACUGUCCGACACUGGAUCCGUGUCGGAUCCGCAGAAGUGGACGCGCCUUUACUGUAAAGGUUGAACUACAACCUCUUGGUGUGCUCUUGCUACGCUGAGACAAGAGUCAUAUCAGUGGAGAUUUUCUUUCCUGGGACACGGUUGCGCUGAACUAUCUGAGAUGCCUUUUCAUCUAAUUGAAUUUCAGGCAAGCGAGGACAUUGCUUUUGUGCCAGUUGACUGGUAUGAUGACGUGAUGGUGUACUGGCCCAGCUGAACGUGUGAAACGGGCAGCUGCUAACGAGGAGAAGCAUGAGCCAAACUGGCCAAGAUAUGACGUAAAGGUCGUCAGAACUUGUGACAACUACAAAGACGCCAUCAGGCUAAUGAAUCAGAGCAGGAGGGAUAGCUGCCAGAGAAAUGAUUCAGGAAGCCAAUCCAUCGUUUUGGGGACUCUGAUGAGAGUGAAGAAGAGCCAGAAAAUUCGGCUGGUGUAUCAGUUGGAGCCUCAAGCCCAAACCAAUUACACUGGCAGACUCCACCAUCUCACUGAGUGCCAUGCAGCAGAGUCACUACUCCUCAACCUGGAGGAAACUGUCUAGUACCUGACCAUGGGGCCGGACCCCAACACCCUUCACCACCUCAACUCCCUGCACCUGUAUUUAACAUGAGGAGAGUUACUCAAGGAACGGCAGUCCCUCCUCAACUCCCUCCACCUCCCGCACCGGCCCUCAACAUGAGGCGAACAGAGGAGCCCUCUUCAAGCCUGGCCUACAGACCAACAUGGCGAGGGGGAGGAAUGACCGAUACCAUUCCCUGCUCUGUGGCUGAGGUCCACAUCCUUAGCCUGCUGGAGACCAUUAAACAACAACAAGACCAGCUUGUGGCAAAGGUGAACUACCUCAGCAGCAGGCUGAACAGCAACCCGGGGCCAGAUGUUGAGAUGCCGGACAAUAUCCAGUUUCCCCUAGGACAAUUGGAGGCAGUGGAGGCAUUUGAAAUGUUUUUAAAGGAACCGUCAAAUGGCCCAGCUCGACAGAGCGUGGUGCUGUGAGGAAAAACACUGACACGGUCAGCCACGGACGCAGAGGUCACCAAGCAUGCAAUCAGGUGGUUCAACCUGGCAGCGGAUCGGGCAACGAGGAGACGUGUCCCGCCUCAAGCCACACAAACGGAGUAAUAGGAGAAAUAAGCAAUAAACAAUAUUUUUAUUGAA
Long non-coding RNA from Esox lucius (northern pike), 1235 nucleotides. RefSeq lists it as uncharacterized. The record is from RefSeq and is a predicted model, not a curated record. The transcript has 9 exons. NCBI's taxonomy places the organism in Eukaryota, Metazoa, Chordata, Actinopteri, Esociformes, Esocidae.